Molecule: long non-coding RNA, 349 nt
Filed under: Linum usitatissimum (flax)
Lineage: Eukaryota; Viridiplantae; Streptophyta; Magnoliopsida; Malpighiales; Linaceae
Description: long non-coding RNA (LUSI_LNC002513)
Source: RNAcentral
GUCGAUUCAUUGCGUAGGUCCCAUCACACGUGUCAGUACUUUAUCCACCCCUCCACCACCACGCUUCUUCUAUGAUCUUAUCCAUACCGUUAAUCCCCCCCCCCCACCCCAACCUUAACCCCACCACCCCCAAAUUAAAAUUUCUAGGGUUUUCUUUCUUUCUCCAUUUCACAAACCUCUUCCCAAAUUCAUGGCAUUUCUACCCAGCUCCCCGAACCAAAUUUGAGCUACUGAAGACGAAGAAGAAGAAGAAUGGAGCUUGACGACGACGCCGGAGGCGGAGGCGGGAGCUCUUCCGACAUCAGCACCACCCACGGCGAGGAGGUGUUCAGGAUAUCAACCAUCGGCG